RNAcentral lists this ribosomal RNA (500 nucleotides) under uncultured bacterium. RNAcentral describes it as "partial 16S ribosomal RNA". It matches the Rfam family "Bacterial small subunit ribosomal RNA", at positions 29 to 523 of the family's 1533-position model. The record is from RNAcentral.
AUUGAACGCUGGCGGCAUGCCUUACACAUGCAAGUCGAACGGCAGCACGGGUGCUUGCACCUGGUGGCGAGUGGCGAACGGGUGAGUAAUACAUCGGAACGUACCUUAUCGUGGGGGAUAACGCAGCGAAGCUGUGCUAAUACCGCAUACGCCCUGAGGGGGAAAGCGGGGGAUCGCAAGACCUCGCGCGAUUAGAGCGGCCGAUGCCUGAUUAGCUAGUUGGUGGGGUAAAAGCCCACCAAGGCGACGAUCAGUAGCUGGUCUAAGAGGACGAUCAGCCACGCUGGGAAUGAGACACGGGCCAGACUCCUGGGGGAGGCAGGAGUGGGGAAUUUUGGAGAAUGGGGGCAACGCUGAUCCAGCAAUGCCGCGUGAGUGAAGAAGGCCUUCGGGUUGUAAAGCUCUUUUGUCAGGGAAGAAACACCGGCUCUAACACAGUCCGGGAAUGACGGUACCUGAAGAAUAAGCACCGGCUAACUACGUGCCAGCCGCCGCCGUAA